UAGAUUUUUAAGAUUUUUUAGAUUUUUAAAUUCCCCAAAUCAAUCCAUAAUUAAAUUAAAUGCAGAUUGGAAUAAUUAAUCCCUAAAAUCCACCCCUAAACACAACAACAAUAAACCCUCUGUUUUUUUUUUGCAGGAUAUUUGUCAUCUUUUGAUGCUGUGCCAAAAAAAAAACGGAAUUUUGGGAGAGGAAAAACCUCCGGAAGCGUCUUCCCGAAAAAUCCGUGCUCCAAAAAAAACCAGGGCAGGAAUUUCAGGUAUGGAAAAUUCCCAAACUUCCCACUCCGUUGGAUCCCGGGAUACUCAGGAAUUCCGAUGGAAGAGCUCUGUUGGUAAAACAUAAAUUUAACAAUUAUUAUUGGUAAAACAUAAAUUUAACAAUUAUUAUUGGUAAAACAUAAAUUUAACAAUUAUUA
This 416-nucleotide long non-coding RNA is filed under the name Taeniopygia guttata (zebra finch). RNAcentral's name for it is "lncRNA (ENSTGUG00000029715.1)". The record is from RNAcentral. Lineage: Eukaryota; Metazoa; Chordata; Aves; Passeriformes; Estrildidae.